This 2046-nucleotide unclassified non-coding RNA is filed under the name Acromyrmex echinatior (Panamanian leafcutter ant). RNAcentral's name for it is "ceramide kinase, transcript variant X1". Lineage: Eukaryota; Metazoa; Arthropoda; Insecta; Hymenoptera; Formicidae. The record is from RNAcentral.
GUACCGAAGUGCAGCGCGUCGCCGCACUCUCGUCCUCACUCACGUCUUGACGUCUCUCCCGUUCGGUUUUGUCGGGUCGCGGGGCUCGCGAUCAUCAGUCUCGCUCGCGCGCCCGACCGGGCAGGACCUGGGUGUGGUGUGCGGCAUCAGUGUAUGAUCGAUCGCGAGGAAUCGACGAUUGUGUUUCUUCCCGAUUUUCACGACGAUCCUCCCGUCGUCGUCGUCGUGAUUUCAUCGAUCAGCGGUUGUCCCCGAGAUGACAUCGUGGCUGCGUCAACCCCGCUGAAGCUACCCUCCUACCUCCGUCGAUGAAGCGGCUCCAGGAUGAUGCAGGACAUCUCUGGCGGCCCCGCCGACGACCAACGUGCCUCGUCCAAGUCAGUACUGCUCAACACCUUCAUCGUGAAGAAGAAACGCUGCCGCGUGUACUUUCAUCGUGGCACGCUCAUCUGGGAGACCGAGCGACCGCCUUACACUAGAUGGACCCUGCCCUUGACGGACGUUCUGGCGGUGCGAUAUGGCGACGACUGGAUAUCGGGUGUGAGCAUUAAGGAGAAGCAGCCGGAGCAGCCGACCUCGCCGACCACGGUGUGCCCAACAAAUUUCAUCUUACACUACGCUGUGCGCGGGUCCAAGAACAAAUGGAGGCAUCACAGCGUGACGAUGAGCCACACGGAUCCCAGGCAAGUCGCCUCGUGGGUGAAGACCAUUCGCAAUUAUCUCCUAGGUCUGACGUAUAGGCCGCGAAAGAUAAUGCUGUUUAUCAAUCCCAUUGGCGGUAAAAAAAAAGGUGUCAAGAUCUGGGAGAAGGAUGUCCAACCACUUAUGACCAUCGCUGGUAUCGAGACAAAAAUGAUGGUCACAGAGCGUGCAGGCCACAUUCGCGACGCUCUGCUCACGGCCGACUUAAGUGACCUACAUGCGGUGGUGUGCAUCGGUGGCGAUGGUACCUUCGCCGAGGCUUUCAACGGGUUGAUUAUGAGGGCGGCGAAGGAUCAGCAGAUCGAUCCCAAUGACCCUGACGCCAGGCUGCCUUGUCCCGCCUUACCCGUUGGCGUUAUACCCAGCGGUAGCACCGACACGGUCGCCUACAGUCUGCAUGGCACAACCGACGUGCAGACUGCCGCUAUACAUAUCAUCUUCGGCGACUCGAUUGGUCUAGACAUCUCGUCGGUCCACAACAAUCGUACCUUACUCAGGCUCUAUGCCAGCGUGUUCAGCUACGGUUAUCUGGGUGACGUGAUCCGCGACAGCGAUAAGUUUCGCUGGAUGGGACCUUGUAGAUAUGAUUGGUCAGGAUUUAAAAAGAUAUUAGCAAAUAAGGGAUACGAGGGUGAAAUCGAGCUGCUAUCGGAUCCAUGUCACCCGGCAGGAAGCACCAGGUGCAUGAAGAAUUGCUUACGUUGCCUGCAGCACAUGCACAAUAGCAUCCCCGACCAGGAAAUCUCCAGGUGGAUAACGGUCAGAGGAAAGUUCUUCAUGGUGUUCGGCGCGAACGUGUCGUGCGCGUGCUCGAGGUGUCCUAUGGGCUUCAGUCCUCAUUGCCACGUAGGUGAUGGCUGCGUGGAUGUGAUCCUAAUACGACAUACAUCCUUAAUAAACAAUAUCAGAUUAUUGCUCAGGCUGUCCAGCAAACGGAAAACUGUGUACGAGCUACCGUUCGCCGAGGUCUACCGGGCGAGAGAAUUCACAUUCCGCGCCCUGCCGACGCUGCAAUUCGAGAACGGGCCGAACACGACCCGCUCGAGUUCGCGGCUCAGCGUGUGGAAUUGCGACGGCGAGGUGGUCGACAGCACCAACGUGAAAAUCAGGGUACACUGCCAAUUACUGAAGGUCUACACGAGACGGACCCAGGAAUCGUCUCGAGAUCCGACGUGCCUCAGCUGUUCUAUGUGAACGAGUCGGAACAAGGUCGUCGAACGACCAGUCUUUCAAGGCUAUAAAUUCCACUUCGCACUUUCGAAGGCGUAAAUUAUUCUUGGUUUUGUUAUAGUUGCAGCGAUAAAUAAAAUUUGUAAAAUUUUAAUAAAUUACACUAUACCGUUA